Molecule: ribosomal RNA, 1561 nt
Filed under: Escherichia coli
Lineage: Bacteria; Pseudomonadati; Pseudomonadota; Gammaproteobacteria; Enterobacterales; Enterobacteriaceae
Description: partial 23S ribosomal RNA
Rfam family: Bacterial large subunit ribosomal RNA
Source: RNAcentral
GGUUAAGCGACUAAGCGUACACGGUGGAUGCCCUGGCAGUCAGAGGCGAUGAAGGACGUGCUAAUCUGCGAUAAGCGUCGGUAAGGUGAUAUGAACCGUUAUAACCGGCGAUUUCCGAAUGGGGAAACCCAGUGUGAUUCGUCACACUAUCAUUAACUGAAUCCAUAGGUUAAUGAGGCGAACCGGGGGAACUGAAACAUCUAAGUACCCCGAGGAAAAGAAAUCAACCGAGAUUCCCCCAGUAGCGGCGAGCGAACGGGGAGCAGCCCAGAGCCUGAAUCAGUGUGUGUGUUAGUGGAAGCGUCUGGAAAGGCGCGCGAUACAGGGUGACAGCCCCGUACACAAAAAUGCACAUACUGUGAGCUCGAUGAGUAGGGCGGGACACGUGGUAUCCUGUCUGAAUAUGGGGGGACCAUCCUCCAAGGCUAAAUACUCCUGACUGACCGAUAGUGAACCAGUACCGUGAGGGAAAGGCGAAAAGAACCCCGGCGAGGGGAGUGAAAAAGAACCUGAAACCGUGUACGUACAAGCAGUGGGAGCCUCUUUAUGGGGUGACUGCGUACCUUUUGUAUAAUGGGUCAGCGACUUAUAUUCUGUAGCAAGGUUAACCGAAUAGGGGAGCCGAAGGGAAACCGAGUCUUAACUGGGCGUUAAGUUGCAGGGUAUAGACCCGAAACCCGGUGAUCUAGCCAUGGGCAGGUUGAAGGUUGGGUAACACUAACUGGAGGACCGAACCGACUAAUGUUGAAAAAUUAGCGGAUGACUUGUGGCUGGGGGUGAAAGGCCAAUCAAACCGGGAGAUAGCUGGUUCUCCCCGAAAGCUAUUUAGGUAGCGCCUCGUGAAUUCAUCUCCGGGGGUAGAGCACUGUUUCGGCAAGGGGGUCAUCCCGACUUACCAACCCGAUGCAAACUGCGAAUACCGGAGAAUGUUAUCACGGGAGACACACGGCGGGUGCUAACGUCCGUCGUGAAGAGGGAAACAACCCAGACCGCCAGCUAAGGUCCCAAAGUCAUGGUUAAGUGGGAAACGAUGUGGGAAGGCCCAGACAGCCAGGAUGUUGGCUUAGAAGCAGCCAUCAUUUAAAGAAAGCGUAAUAGCUCACUGGUCGAGUCGGCCUGCGCGGAAGAUGUAACGGGGCUAAACCAUGCACCGAAGCUGCGGCAGCGACACUAUGUGUUGUUGGGUAGGGGAGCGUUCUGUAAGCCUGUGAAGGUGUACUGUGAGGUAUGCUGGAGGUAUCAGAAGUGCGAAUGCUGACAUAAGUAACGAUAAAGCGGGUGAAAAGCCCGCUCGCCGGAAGACCAAGGGUUCCUGUCCAACGUUAAUCGGGGCAGGGUGAGUCGACCCCUAAGGCGAGGCCGAAAGGCGUAGUCGAUGGGAAACAGGUUAAUAUUCCUGUACUUGGUGUUACUGCGAAGGGGGGACGGAGAAGGCUAUGUUGGCCGGGCGACGGUUGUCCCGGUUUAAGCGUGUAGGCUGGUUUUCCAGGCAAAUCCGGAAAAUCAAGGCUGAGGCGUGAUGACGAGGCACUACGGUGCUGAAGCAACAAAUGCCCUGCUU